ACGGGUGAGUAACACGUGGGCAAUUUACCUUUCAGACAGGGAUAACACCGGGAAACUGGUGCUAAUACCUGAUACGCUUAGCGGUAGGCAUCUACUGCUGAGGAAACAGAGGCCUCUCGACGAAGCUCCUGCUGAAAGAUAAGCCCGCGCCUGAUUAGCUAGUUGGUGGGGUAAGGGCCUACCAAGGCAACGAUCAGUAGCCGGCCUGAGAGGGUGAACGGCCACACUGGGACUGAGACACGGCCCAGACUCCUACGGGAGGCAGCAGUGGGGAAUAUUGCGCAAUGGGGGAAACCCUGACGCAGCAACGCCGCGUGAGUGAAGAAGGUUUUCGGAUCGUAAAGCUCUGUCAAUUGGGAAGAAGGUCUACUAGUUAAUAGCUAGUGGGAUGACGGUACCUAAGAAGGAAGCUCCGGCUAACUAUGUGCCAGCAGCCGCGGUAAUACAUAGGGAGCAAGCGUUAUCCGGAAUUACUGGGCGUAAAGGGCGCGUAGGCGGUAGCUUAAGCUAGAUGUGAAAGACCAUGGCUCAACCAAGGAACUGCAUUUAGAACUGGGCGACUAGAGGA
This 568-nucleotide ribosomal RNA is filed under the name uncultured bacterium. Its description in RNAcentral is "bacterial SSU rRNA". It matches the Rfam family "Bacterial small subunit ribosomal RNA", at positions 102 to 648 of the family's 1533-position model. The record is from RNAcentral.